CGCGAGCAUCUAUACCAAGCUAAUAAGGGCGUACGGUGGAUGCCUAGGCGCUAGGAGCCGACGAAGGACGUGGCAGGCUGCGAUAAGCCUCGGGGAGGCGCCAAGCAACCCUUG
RNAcentral lists this ribosomal RNA (114 nucleotides) under Actinomycetota bacterium. Its description in RNAcentral is "Actinobacteria bacterium partial 23S ribosomal RNA". The stretch from base 13 to 114 matches the Rfam family "Bacterial large subunit ribosomal RNA", at positions 1 to 101 of the family's 2925-position model. The record is from RNAcentral. Lineage: Bacteria; Bacillati; Actinomycetota.